Molecule: ribosomal RNA, 222 nt
Filed under: uncultured bacterium
Lineage: Bacteria
Description: partial 16S ribosomal RNA
Rfam family: Bacterial small subunit ribosomal RNA
Source: RNAcentral
GAUCAUGGCUCAGGAUGAACGCUAGCGACAGGCUUAACACAUGCAAGUCGAGGGGCAGCGGGGAGUAGCAAUACUCUGCCGGCGACCGGCGCACGGGUGAGUAACGCGUAUGCAACUUACCUAUCAGAGGAGAAUAGCUCAUCGAAAGAUGAAUUAAUGCUCCAUAAAACAGGGGUCCCGCAUGGGAAUAUUUGUUAAAAGAUUCAUCGCUGAUAGAUAGGC